This 844-nucleotide ribosomal RNA is filed under the name Anaerotruncus colihominis. RNAcentral's name for it is "bacterial LSU rRNA". It matches the Rfam family "Bacterial large subunit ribosomal RNA", at positions 562 to 1317 of the family's 2925-position model. Lineage: Bacteria; Bacillati; Bacillota; Clostridia; Eubacteriales; Oscillospiraceae. The record is from RNAcentral.
GCCUACAAGCACAUAGAGCACGUCAAAGUGUGAUAUGGUACCUUUUGUAGAAUGGUCCGGCGAGCGUAUGUAUGCAGCAAGGUUAAGCGCUUAAGGCGCGGAGCCGAAGGGAAACCGAGUCUGAAUAGGGCGUGAAGUUGCAUGCAUAGGGCCCGAAACCGGGUGACCUAUCCAUGUCCAGGUUGAAGUGGGAGUAAAAUCCCAUGGAGGACCGAACCGACCUCCGUUGAAAAGGCGGCGGAUGAGGUGUGGAUAGCGGAGAAAUUCCAAUCGAACCCGGAGAUAGCUGGUUCUCCCCGAAAUAGCUUUAGGGCUAGCGUUGUAUUAGAUUACCGGAGGUAAAGCACUGAAUGGGCUAGGGGCCGAGAGGUUACUGAACCCUAUCAAACUCUGAAUGCCGGAUAAUUGAUGUACAGCAGUCAGACUACGUGAGAUAAGUCUCGUGGUCGAGAGGGAAAAAGCCCAGACCCACAGCUAAGGUCCCAAAUACACGUUAAGUGGAAAAGGAUGUGGAGUUGCACAGACAACCAGGAUGUUGGCUUAGAAGCAGCCACUCAUUAAAAGAGUGCGUAAUAGCUCACUGGUCGAGUGACUCUGCGCCGAAAAUUCAACGGGGCUAAACGUGUAACCGAAGCUUGGGAUUUCAUUCACUGAACAAUGCUUUUUGUCAGGCAGGAGGGAAAGAUUUGCUGCCGAAGGCAGCUAAAUUUCCAAAAGCAAACGAGAGAGAAAGUAUUGGUCAGUGAAUGAAAUGGUAGGGGAGCGUCGUAUACGGGGUGAAGUAUGAGCGAAAGCGCAUGUGGACUGUAUACGAGUGAGAAUGCCGGAAUGAGUAGCGAGAAAU